ACAAGUGAAAAAUCAUUCUCUUUCUCUCUCUAGGUUUUCUUUGUUUCUUUCUUCUUUUUCUACAAUCUCUCUAUUUUCUUUUCUACAUAAUGCUUAACAUGGUAUCAAUCGCCAUUAAAGCUUGAUCAGCUUCUUCGAUCCUUUCUUUUGCUUCCGCUACACGAAAUUCUUUCUUCUUCUAUCUUGUGGGUGUAUCAAGUUUACCCAGUUCUUCAUGGUAACUCUGAUGGGGCUUCAAUCUCGACCUGUACCAUUAGUCUUUCCUUAUCUGUAUCCAUACUUGCUUAAGGAGUGGAUGGUUACAUCUUCCCAUUCUUUCUAACUACUGCUGUUUUAAAAAGGCACAUUUUUUUUUAAUGCGCAAUUUGUUGCAUCUGCGGAAGCAUUUGUUUAGACAUCUGUGGGUUCACUUGUUAGGGUAGUCGAAUGAGAUUCUGAUGCUAUGGCUGCAACUAAGACUGGAUUCCAUGAAUUUGCUACUGAGUUUUUUGAAAAUUCCUGGAGCCGUCUUUGACUUGCUCCACUUGAAAGACAAAAUUACCAUAUCGCACAGUUUGAAGGAACAUGUUUAGUAGUUCAAGCGUUGAGCACUGCUUUCUUUUGUGCACACCAGGUGUUUGAGUCUUUUCCUCAAACAGAUUUCUCUACAUUUUUCCAAAAUGGUAAUUGCGAAUCAACAUCAAAUCUUGCAAUCACCCAUCACUGGAUUGAUUUCAUCCGUUUCCACGUCUGUUACUGUGAAGCUGGAUGAGACCAACUAUCUACAAUUGCAUUUUCAGAUGCAGUUAAUGCUUGAAGUCCAUGGACUUAUGGGGUUCGUUGAUAGAUCGAAUCUCUUUCUUGCUUAGUUUUCUUCUACUUCUUUAGGAGAUUCAGAGCAAGAGUUCUCAAGAGAUGUAGGUUCGUCUUCAAAACCAGUUUUUCUUACCACGUACAAAAACCAGUAUAAUCAAAUUACAGACUGAUCUUCACAACAUUAAGAAGGGAUCAAAUUCAAUUUCCCAAUAUCUUCAAAGAAUUGAAGGAGCAAAUGAUGGACUUUAUAUUCUUGGUGUCACACUUGUUGAUGAAGACUUUGUGAUUAUUGCAUUGAAUGGACUCCCUCCAAAAUACAACACAUUUAAAUGUGUACUCAAAGGGCGUGAGAGCAUCAUUUCACUCAAGGAGUUUUGUGCAUAAUUGCUCACUGAGGAAGCCAUUGUGGAUUGUGCUCUUGUUGAAUGUGAGACAGAAGGAUAUUUCUUUCCUCUCUUUAGCUCUCAAUUUCAUGCUGGCUUCAAUGGUGGUUAUCAUGCUCAAUCCAAUUUUAGUUCAUGCCAGUCAAGCUAUGGUAAUAAUGUUGAUAGUUAUAAUGGAAUUCUUGGCUCACCUCCAUCUUCAUAUCCUAGUUCUCUGCCACCUGAAAUUACUACAUGUCAAAUUUGUUCACAUAAGGAUCAUCUUGUUGCCCAUUGUUUUGCUCAAACUACCAACUCAUCUAUUACACAAUAUCCAAACCUGCAGGAUCAGGUUCGAUUUUCUGAUUCAAUGAAGUCAAUUGAGACGAA
Long non-coding RNA from Pyrus x bretschneideri (Chinese white pear), 1547 nucleotides. RefSeq lists it as uncharacterized. NCBI's taxonomy places the organism in Eukaryota, Viridiplantae, Streptophyta, Magnoliopsida, Rosales, Rosaceae. The transcript is spliced from 2 exons. The record is from RefSeq and is a predicted model, not a curated record.